GAUGAACGCUGGCGGCGUGCUUAACACAUGCAAGUCGAACGGGAAUUAUUUUAUUGAAACUUCGGUCGAUUUAAUUUAAUUCUAGUGGUGGACGGGGGAGUAACGCCUGUGUAACCUGCCUUAUACAGGGGGAUAACAGUCAGAAAUGGCUUCUAAUAUCGCAUAACCGCACAGAGCUUCAUGGCUCAGUGUGAAAAACUCCGGUGGUAUAAGAUGGACCUGCGUUGGAGUAGCUUGUUGGCAGGGUAACGGCCUACCAAGGCGACGAUCCAUAGCCGGCAUGAGAGGGUGAACCGCAACCUUGGGACUGACAGACGGCGCGGAUUCCCACCGGAGGCAGCAAUUGGGACUAUUGCACAAUGGGGGAAACACUGAUGCAGCGACGCCGCGUGAAGGAAGAAGUAUCUCGGUAUGUAAACUUCUAUCAGCAGCGAAGAUAGUGACGGUACCUGACUAAGAAGCCCCGGCUAACUACGUG
RNAcentral lists this ribosomal RNA (478 nucleotides) under uncultured bacterium. RNAcentral describes it as "partial 16S ribosomal RNA". It matches the Rfam family "Bacterial small subunit ribosomal RNA", at positions 28 to 507 of the family's 1533-position model. The record is from RNAcentral.